RNAcentral lists this unclassified non-coding RNA (422 nucleotides) under fungal sp. RNAcentral's name for it is "partial internal transcribed spacer region". The stretch from base 1 to 46 matches the Rfam family "Eukaryotic small subunit ribosomal RNA", at positions 1786 to 1831 of the family's 1831-position model. Lineage: Eukaryota; Fungi. The record is from RNAcentral.
AAGUCGUAACAAGGUCUCCGUAGGUGAACCUGCGGAGGGAUCAUUAACACUAUUUGGCUAGUGUCAUUCGAGUAUCUUGCAAAAGAGAAAGCGUGAUGUUAGUUCAGAUUUUCACAAACCUGUCGAACUCGGUUACCUCGUGUAACCAAUCCGCUGUUUCUUCUAAGUAGGUUGUUGUAGUGACGAAGUGAGCCCCCGUACUUGCUACUUUCUGGGAGUAUGGAACGGCGACUGAGCAACUUUGCUUUGAAACGGUAUAAAUUUUUGGUGACGUUACACUUCAAAACGUCUCGUCCCCUUUGCCUACUUUUUCACCCCUUUUAAGCCAAUUGACUGAUUUAACGGAGCACAUCGAAAGGUGUCUUAGCUUCGUCAAGAUAACAAACUAAGCACAACUCUUAGCAACGGAUAUCUUGGUUCUC